This 585-nucleotide ribosomal RNA is filed under the name Aulacaspis calcarata. RNAcentral's name for it is "partial 28S ribosomal RNA". It matches the Rfam family "Eukaryotic large subunit ribosomal RNA", at positions 579 to 884 of the family's 3401-position model. The record is from RNAcentral. Lineage: Eukaryota; Metazoa; Arthropoda; Insecta; Hemiptera; Diaspididae.
CGGUUGGUCGUNUGAUAUUUCCGUUGCCGUGUCAGACGUCGCGACCUGUUCGUCGCCGGUCCUUGCUCGGAGGAAUUGCGAUCGAGUUCGUUGCGAGUGCGUUUCGGCGUGUCUCGCGGCGAAGACGCGACUCUCUGGCUGGCGACGGACAGUAAGCAACGGUGGCCGGCGUCGUGUCUCGCACUCGACGUCGGUGCCGGUCAGCGACGAUUUCUUCGGGCCUCUUUCCGACCCGUCUUGAAACACGGACCAAGGAGUCUAACAUGCGCGCGAGUCGCGGGGUUUCGAGCGUGCCACGGUGCGCUCGUUACUUCCGAAACCCGUACGUUGAAGGCGUAAUGAAAGUGAACAGGGAAGAUGGCGUUCCGAGUCCACGUACCGUGAUCGUGUAUCGCGGCCGGACGUCCGCACUCCCGGGGCGUCUCAAUGGUUCGACGCGGAUGCGGACGGUCGUCUUUCGGGGCGGCCGUCGGUCUGCGUCGGUCCGAGGCGCACCUAUAGCGUGCACGUUGGUACCCGAAAGAUGGUGAACUAUGCCUGGCCAGGAUGAAGUCAGGGGAAACCCUGAUGGAGGUCCGCAGCGAU